This 765-nucleotide long non-coding RNA is filed under the name Haliotis rubra (blacklip abalone). RNAcentral's name for it is "uncharacterized LOC124256671, transcript variant X1". The record is from RNAcentral. Lineage: Eukaryota; Metazoa; Mollusca; Gastropoda; Lepetellida; Haliotidae.
AGUUUGUGUCACGUUUCAAUUAUCUGGGUCAUGUUUGUAUGAUAUGGAAUCAUGGAAAAGUGAAAAUGAUAAAAUGAAUAUUGAAGUAAUAGGUCCCUACAUUCUGAGUUGAACGGUCCAUGGUAAACCGUCUAUGGUCAAAGAGAACACACUACCCAUGGUCACCGGCCAAUGGUCAACGGUCCAUGCUCAAAAGUCCAUACGUGACAAUGAUGGUCCCCGGGGCUGUGGUUUUCUGCAUGAUCACACUGUGGAAUGACUGUGUUAGCCUGGUCCUGAACACUCUCAUGAAGUCAUAUGUGGGUUGUUGACAAUGACCGUACUAUCGCCAGUUCCCGACAACAAGGUUGAGACGUACACACAUGACGCAGGUUGUUGACAAUGAUCGUACUAUCGCCAGUUCCCGACAACAAGGUUGAGACGUCUACACAUGACGCAGGUUGUUGACAAUGACCGUACUAUCGCCAGUUCCCGACAACAAGGUUGAGACGUCCACACAUGACGCAGGUUGUUGACAAUGACCGUACUAUCGCCAGUUCCCGACAACAAGGUUGAGACGUCCACUCAUGACGCCAGCUGACGACCCUCGUCAAGUGAUACAGCGUCUAUAUAGCCAGGGCGUCAAAGUGACUUAACAAAUUGCUUUCAGUAUUACCAAUACCUGCAUUGUAUUCUAUGAAUGCUUAAUUGUAGUUUUCUGAUGACGUGUUGUCCAGUAAUCGUUCAGUUCAUGAUGUUUAUGCCAAUAAAGCGUGUGGCCAGUAA